CCCCUACGGACGGUAUGAACGGCAUCCGGUAGCGAGAAUCGGGUGGGGG
Molecule: non-coding RNA, 49 nt
Filed under: unclassified sequences
Description: DUF2693-FD RNA
Rfam family: DUF2693-FD RNA
About the family: DUF2693-FD RNA is a non-coding RNA (ncRNA) recognised in Bacteroides by a bioinformatic analisis by Zasha Weinberg.
Source: Rfam by way of RNAcentral